Molecule: ribosomal RNA, 482 nt
Filed under: uncultured bacterium
Lineage: Bacteria
Description: partial 16S ribosomal RNA
Rfam family: Bacterial small subunit ribosomal RNA
Source: RNAcentral
AUUGAACGCUGGCGGCAUGCCUUACACAUGCAAGUCGAACGGUAACGGGCCUUCGGGUGCCGACGAGUGGCGCACGGGUGAGUAAUACAUCGGAACGUGCCCGAUCGUGGGGGAUAACGAGGCGAAAGCUUUGCUAAUACCGCAUACGAUCUACGGAGGAAAGCAGGGGACCGCAAGGCCUUGCGCGGACGGAGCGGCCGAUGGCGGAUUAGGUAGUUGGUGGGAUAAAAGCUUACCAAGCCGACGAUCUGUAGCUGGUCUGAGAGGAUGAUCAGCCACACUGGGACUGAGACACGGCCCAGACUCCUACGGGAGGCAGCAGUGGGGAAUUUUGGACAAUGGGCGCAAGCCUGAUCCAGCCAUGCCGCGUGCAGGAUGAAGGCCUUCGGGUUGUAAACUGCUUUUGUACGGAACGAAAAGCCUUCUUUUAAUACAGGAGGGUCAUGACGGUACCGGAAGAAUAAGCACCGGCUAACUACGUG